RNAcentral lists this long non-coding RNA (1392 nucleotides) under Populus trichocarpa (black cottonwood). Its description in RNAcentral is "long non-coding RNA (PTRI_LNC003353)". Lineage: Eukaryota; Viridiplantae; Streptophyta; Magnoliopsida; Malpighiales; Salicaceae. The record is from RNAcentral.
GGCCAUUGAUACAACACCACACCAAACAAGUAAGUAGGACCAGCAUGAGUUGAAGGCAAGGACUUGGCUCACACGGUUCUAGCUAGUAUGGCUGGGAAAUCAAAUUAAUUGCCUGAUGAUACUACACAAUAUUUCAUAUAGCUAGUAAAAUACUAAAAUUAUUGAAAAUCAAUUAGCUUUUUUUUUUUUUUGAAAAACUGAGUUCUUAUUGCAAAUCAAGAUUGAUAAAGGCUCUUACAUAGACAUUCUCCUUUGAUUUUAUACAUCAGCAAUAUGAACAGUUUAUCCACGAUUGAUCAUCAUCAGGUACAGAAGGGAUUAAUUCAUACAUAAAAUAGUAAAAUAAAACCAAAGAACAUUCAAUCAUCAAACAGUGAUGCAUUAACAUUAAUUAUAAUACUGUUUAUAUGUAGAAAGUACUCCAUGAUUGAUCAUUUGAUGACAAAAAACAGGACUGCAAAUUGCAAAGAAGACAUCAGACCCGGGAAACCAGCCAAACCUUGUUAAUUUCAUUGCCAGCAAAUCUGCCUUGGAAAUUCUAAGAGCAGUUUGAAUAUAUUUCUUAUUGUAACCCUAUCUCUCUAGCUAACCCCAUUCCCCAUAUUUUAUAAGCCAUAACAGGAAAAGAAAAGAAAAACAAGAAUCGAAACCAAGAACAUGAACAUAAACAAGAUAAAGAAGAACAAGUCAAAUGCCUGGCUUUCCCAUGUACGCCGCUAAAUUUAUAAUUUGUUUGCCUCGGUGAAUUCUUCUCCGAGACCAGACUUCCCAAAAGCAAACCCCAUGUGUAUAUCUCUAAUCCUUCUCUGGGCCAAAGAAACUUGCAGGUAAGUUUGAAUGUAUAGCAUGCACGUAUGAUCUGAUCUUGCCAGACAAUUGAUCACGCUUCUUCUUCCUCUUCCUCCUGAUCAGCAUGAGACCCAUUUUCAUUUAUCUCUCCGUAAGUUUGCUUCUCUACUUAUCUCCAGUGCCGAGAAAGCAAGAGAUCAGGAGUAAGAGAUAGCUAAACAAGAAAAGUAAAGAGGAGUAGUGUGUCGUCCUAGAACUUGAACGCUCAACAAGAAGAUUAAUAUAUAAAAAGGGAAUAGAAAAGGAGAGAAAGGGGUAGAGGAAAGGGCGUUCCCAAGAAGAUGACGAGCGUUUCCCGUUAAUGUUGUUUUCAAAGGUUGGGUUUUAAUUUUCUUAAACGUGGGGCCAAUCAAAUGAACAUCAGUCCCCUUUUUGUUUCACACGUUGGGGUGCUUCUCUUUGUCUUCCCUUCUAACAGUCAAUGACUCUUACGUGUUCCUCGAAUCAAUUAGUGGCCUUAGCCUACCCUAAGGGAAUAGAUCAUAUCUUUUGGUUUCAUUAAUUUUGUAUUUUCUUUAAUUACUUUUUGUGCUCAGAAACAUC